This 930-nucleotide long non-coding RNA is filed under the name Androctonus crassicauda. Lineage: Eukaryota; Metazoa; Arthropoda; Arachnida; Scorpiones; Buthidae. The record is from RNAcentral.
GUUUAAUCUGAAACAAAAAGCAUGAAAAUCGGUUAAGUAGGAGUCGCAGGCGGAUUGCCAGAAGAAAACAGCCUUGUAUUGCUUCUGGCAAUAUAUAGAUAGUUUAUUAAGAUUAUUUCAUUUCCUACAUUAAGAAAAAGCUUAGAAAAUAUACAUAUAAUAUUAAGAUGUGAGUAAUUUUCGCUCUUGUCCCCUCGACAGCAGGUCGAAUAUAUAUAUGUGUACAGUCUUUAGUUCAAUGGAUCAGUCUUUAGUCCAACACCACACUUUCGCUGUUUCUUCUAUCGACGACUUAUUGGUCGAAAACCGAUUGCCCAGUUGGGGGAUUCAAUACGGUUUGCCUGUCACUGAUUUAACGUAAUUUUUCCUCUAGAGGAUGGGACUUGACGGGUCACGUCUCGUCCUUCGCGUCGGUGAUCUUGCGGCCGACCUUUCGAUGUCUGGGGAGCGGUCUUUUGCAGGUUUUGGUUCAACUUCUCUCGAAAGCUUUGGUGCGACUGUCCUAGAAGAACUAUAUCGACUGCUAACGCUCAAGUUAGUGGCCUACGACGACGAAUUAUAUGUCCUUCGUUGUCGAAUUCUAGUAACCAACUGACUUUUUUCUCUCGGAGAAAGACGAUCCUCUCACGUUCUUUACUGUUUUUCCUGCACCCAAUUCUUCCCCUGUCAAAACUGACGUGUGUUUUUCUUCAUGAAUUUAUGGAGGACGGAGAACCUCGACUCGUGAGAAUAGCUAAUUAGCGAUCAUUUUUCAAUCAUAGGUUAAUUUAGCAAGUAACAAUAAUUUGUUAUUUAUUUACAUAAAUUCCGAACUCCAUGUUCUCAUAUUCUUCUUUGUUUUAUGAUACUUCAACAUUUCUCUUAUAUACGUUCAAUUUUUCUUUUAACAUCAAAGUAUAUUUACUCGUACAUUUAAUUUAUAUAACUGAC